AUCUACGGCCAUACCACCCUGAACGUGCACGAUCUUGUCUGAUCUCAGAAGCUAAGCAGGGUCAGGUCUGGUUAGUAUUUGGAUGGGAGACCAUCAUUUUUUAAAGUGCCGUAGGCA
RNAcentral lists this ribosomal RNA (117 nucleotides) under Aotus nancymaae (Ma's night monkey). The record is from RNAcentral. Lineage: Eukaryota; Metazoa; Chordata; Mammalia; Primates; Aotidae.